CGCAGGGUGGAGCAGCAUGGUAGCUCGUCAGGCUCAUAACCUGAAGGUCAUAGGUUCAAAUCCUAUCCCUGCACCCA
This 77-nucleotide transfer RNA is filed under the name Coraliomargarita sp. CAG:312. RNAcentral's name for it is "transfer RNA-Met(CAT)". It matches the Rfam family "tRNA". Rfam says of the family: Transfer RNA (tRNA) molecules are approximately 80 nucleotides in length. Their secondary structure includes four short double-helical elements and three loops (D, anti-codon, and T loops). Further hydrogen bonds mediate the characteristic L-shaped molecular structure. tRNAs have two regions of fundamental functional importance: the anti-codon, which is responsible for specific mRNA codon recognition, and the 3' end, to which the tRNAs corresponding amino acid is attached (by aminoacyl-tRNA synthetases). tRNAs cope with the degeneracy of the genetic code in two manners: having more than one tRNA (with a specific anti-codon) for a particular amino acid; and 'wobble' base-pairing, i.e. permitting non-standard base-pairing at the 3rd anti-codon position. Lineage: Bacteria; Pseudomonadati; Verrucomicrobiota; Opitutia; Puniceicoccales; Coraliomargaritaceae. The record is from RNAcentral. RNAcentral also lists the same sequence under 2 other names.